GAAGUCACUUUCUGUUUCCCAGGUAAGUUUCACUAUAAAAAUAAUUAUUAUUUUUAUUCAACCUGGAGUAUAUUGCUUUUAUUCAACCAUCUAUUUCUUUGAAUUUACAAAAAUAACCUUGUAUGUUACUCCAUUUCCAAUUCCAGAAAUAUUCAGUUCUUGAAAAAAAAGAAAACUAAAUAUGUUAUUUAUUAUUAUUAUAGCUAAGCAAUUAUGAUCUACUUCUUUCACUCUACCGUGGCCAUUCUAUUUCAAAAAACUUCAAAUUUUAAGGAAGAGUGGUAAAGUAUCAAAGACCAACUUCCUUUCAAAUUUUCUGUCUAGAGAUUACCACAUAGUUUUCAAAUUUUCAAAACUGGGUUAAAAUGAAAAGGGGCAGGGUGGUAAACUGAUUGAAAGUCUAUUUUUUGAUUUGUAUGGUAGAAAAAUAAAUUGGUAUAAAU
Long non-coding RNA from Telopea speciosissima, 443 nucleotides. RefSeq lists it as uncharacterized. NCBI's taxonomy places the organism in Eukaryota, Viridiplantae, Streptophyta, Magnoliopsida, Proteales, Proteaceae. The transcript is spliced from 2 exons. The record is from RefSeq and is a predicted model, not a curated record.